Molecule: ribosomal RNA, 939 nt
Filed under: Triticum aestivum (bread wheat)
Lineage: Eukaryota; Viridiplantae; Streptophyta; Magnoliopsida; Poales; Poaceae
Description: partial small subunit ribosomal RNA
Source: RNAcentral
AUGGAAUCAUCAUACUGUAAAGAUUGUAACAUUAGCACAGUGAUAGUAUUCGAUCGCGCAACUGGAGACACCAUAUGCUCAGAAUGCGGCCUUGUAUUGGAUAGUCAUUACAUUGAUGAGAAAGAUGAUUGGCGUACAUUCACCCCUUUAGCAUCAAAAGAUGAUAAUUAUGACCCUAUUUCUACAGUGAAAUCCCCAAAUAAUCUGAAAUCAAGGCAUAAUUCUACACCUGCUAUGAGAUUUGAUAAAAACAUAUUUGAUCACCACAAAUCUUUUCGCGGCAAUAUACAGAAGUCUGUUGAUUUUUCUUCCCAUCAAGCCGACAAUGCAAUUCACUAUAUAGGUGAUAUGGCUGACAGGUUGGGCAUUGUGGAUAACAUAAAGCUUCAAGCAACAAGUUUAUACAUGAAAGCAAAUGAUCUUAAGAUAUUUAAUAUAAGGAAGAAACAUUCUCUUUGUGCUGCUUGCUUGUACGUAGCAUGCAGGCAAGCUAAUAAGGCUCGAACUAUAAAAGAGAUUUGCAUCGUCACUAAUGGAGUUACAAAAAAAGAAGUUUCUCGAGCAAAAGAUUUACUAGUACACCAUAUUGAAGAGAAGAAAGGCGAAUGCAUGGAAAUCAGUAGUGUUCGUCCUAGGGAUCUCGUGCGACGUUUUUGUUCAACACUUGGAAUGUCAAACAAAGCUAUUCAAGCAGCAGAAGAAGCAGCAAAUCGAGUGCAGAGACUUGAUAUAAGAAGGAAUGCUAUAUCAAUAGCUGGAACAAUAAUAUAUUUAGUAUCUGAAUCUUCCAAGGAACCAUGUGACAAGGUUGCUAUUAAAGAUAUAUGCGCUGUGGCUGGAUUAACAGAAAUUACCAUUAGAUAUUGUCACAAGGAACUUUGUAAUUAUGCUCCAUGGCUCGUAGAAACAUACGCAACACAACAUGCAAAGGAAAAAUAA